RNAcentral lists this unclassified non-coding RNA (496 nucleotides) under Anelosimus baeza. RNAcentral's name for it is "partial contains 16S ribosomal RNA and tRNA-Leu (trnL)". The stretch from base 100 to 399 matches the Rfam family "Bacterial large subunit ribosomal RNA", at positions 2074 to 2646 of the family's 2925-position model. The record is from RNAcentral. Lineage: Eukaryota; Metazoa; Arthropoda; Arachnida; Araneae; Theridiidae.
UUUUUAAUUAAAAACUAGAAUGAAAGGUUAUACAUUCAAAUUUCUUUAUUAAUUUUUAAUAAAUAAUUUAUAUUAAAUAUAAAAAUGUAUUUAUAAAAAAAAAAGACGACAAGACCCUAUUAAAUUUUACUUAUAGUUUAGCUGGGGAAGCUUUUCAAUUAAAAUUUUUUAAAUUAAAUAAAUAAAAAUCUAAUAAAAUUAAAAUUUUAAUAAAUUACUAUAGGGAUAACAGCAUUAUAUUUUUUAAAAGUUCAUAUUAAAAAAAAUGAUUGUGACCUCGAUGUUGAAUUAUAUUUUCUAUAUUAAAUGCAAUAAUUAUAAAAGUAGAUCUGUUCGAUCUUUAAAAUAUUACAUGAUUUGAGUUCAAACCGGUGUAAACCAGGUUGGUUUCUAUCUUUUUAUAUAUUUUUCCAGUACGAAAGGACAAAAAAAUUUUUAUUUUAAUAAAUUAGCAAAUAAAUGCAUUAGAUUUAGAAUCUAAAUAUAUUUAAUAAUU